GACAUAGGUGGCGAACGUUAUCCGGAAUUAUUGGGCGUAAAGGAUGCGUAGAUGGUAGAAUAAGUUACUGGUUGAUGCCAAACUCAAUUUGACGGAAGCUGGUAAUACUGUUCUGCUAGAGGGCAGGAGAAGUUGAUGGAAUUCUGUGUGGAGCGGUGAAAUGCGUUGAUCUACAGAGGAACACCAAAAAAGGCGAAGGCAGUCAACUAUUCUGUUCCUGACAUUGAGGCAUGAAAGCGUGGGGAGCAAACCGG
This 254-nucleotide ribosomal RNA is filed under the name uncultured bacterium. RNAcentral's name for it is "partial 16S ribosomal RNA". It matches the Rfam family "Bacterial small subunit ribosomal RNA", at positions 524 to 776 of the family's 1533-position model. The record is from RNAcentral.